Molecule: ribosomal RNA, 517 nt
Filed under: uncultured bacterium
Lineage: Bacteria
Description: bacterial SSU rRNA
Rfam family: Bacterial small subunit ribosomal RNA
Source: RNAcentral
UAGUCCACGCUGUAAACGAUGUCUACUUGGAGGUUGUUGUCUUGAAUGAUGGCUUUCGGAGCUAACGCGUUAAGUAGACCGCCUGGGGAGUACGGCCGCAAGGUUAAAACUCAAAUGAAUUGACGGGGGCCCGCACAAGCGGUGGAGCAUGUGGUUUAAUUCGAUGCAACGCGAAGAACCUUACCUACUCUUGACAUCUAGAGAAGCUUGCAGAGAUGCGAGUGUGCCUUCGGGAACUCUAAGACAGGUGCUGCAUGGCUGUCGUCAGCUCGUGUUGUGAAAUGUUGGGUUAAGUCCCGCAACGAGCGCAACCCUUAUCCUUAGUUACCAGCAUUAAGUUGGGGACUCUAGGGAGACUGCCGGUGUUAAACCGGAGGAAGGCGGGGAUGACGUCAAGUCCUCAUGGCCCUUACGGGUAGGGCUACACACGUACUACAAUGGCAGAUACAAACCGUUUGCAAAGCCGCGAGGUUGAGCUAAUCGGUAAAACACUGUCCCAGUCCGGAUUGGAGUCUGC